Glycine soja is the source of this 973-nucleotide RNA transcript. It is a transcript of the gene named replication protein A 32 kDa subunit B-like, with no coding region annotated. Lineage: Eukaryota; Viridiplantae; Streptophyta; Magnoliopsida; Fabales; Fabaceae. The record is from RefSeq and is a predicted model, not a curated record. The transcript has 6 exons.
UUUUGUAAAUAAUGUCAACUUUUUAAAGAUGGUUUUUGUGAAAUCGUCUUUGAAACCUCAAAACAACGAUGAAUUUCAAGAGAAUCGUUGUCGAUUUGGUGUAUUCAAAGAUAGUUCGUGAAAAUCGUCUUUGAAUCAGUACUAAAAAAAGACAUCACUGCGUGACCUUUCCUUAUACUACUAAUUCACCCUAUUGCAUGUGCUCUCGAUCAGCCACUAUUCCUUGUGACCUUUCCCUAUACUACUAGUUCAAGCAAGUUUGACGGCAACACAGCCUUCUACGAUGGCAGAUCCGUGCCUUCUCCUCAGCCUUCUCACGGCCCCAUGCCUUCCUUCUAUUCCUCCAAGAAUCGUGAUGCUCAAACCUUGCUUCCUCUGAUAGUCAAGCAGAUAUACGGUGCGUCUCAGUAAGUGACAAUAAAACGAAUUUGAUUAUGGUUGAUGGUGUAGACCUUAACAGUUCUUGUAGGAAGGGUGUGCAUCAAAGUUGGAGGAAUUACUGACAUCACUUUUGUGCCUAAUGAUGAUACUGGGAAGAUUGAGUGCUUCACGGAGAUGUUGAAACAGAUGAAGCUGAGGGGGCAUCGUAGAAGAAUGGUCUGAAAUAGAAUAUGGAAGCAAUGGUGGAGUGGUCUCGAAGCUCCAACACUGAAGUGAAGAGAGAGAAACAAUGGCCAAUGUUUCAAUUCCACUCUCGCAAAACGGUUUCUCCAUACCCAAUUACUCAACAAAACACCUAUGUUUCACCCCUUCAACUCCAUCACUCAGAAUUUCUUGCCCUGGCAGUCAUACCAACCACUGGAGAGUUUGUUUACCAAGGAUCAAGGGGCCAACAGUUUUCUAGUGUAAGGCCUGUGGAAGAGAAUAUGAGGAGACUGUAAGUAUUUUACAUAUGGACUUUUCCUUCAUGUAUUAUUGUACUUGCUUUCUCUGCAGGAUUAAGUAAUUACAUAAGGAAGCUGAAGAGCUAUGG